Molecule: ribosomal RNA, 898 nt
Filed under: Colletotrichum fructicola
Lineage: Eukaryota; Fungi; Ascomycota; Sordariomycetes; Glomerellales; Glomerellaceae
Description: LSU rRNA
Rfam family: Eukaryotic large subunit ribosomal RNA
Source: RNAcentral
UAGCAUAUCAAUAAGCGGAGGAAAAGAAACCAACAGGGAUUGCCUCAGUAACGGCGAGUGAAGCGGCAACAGCUCAAAUUUGAAAUCUGGCCCUAGGCCCGAGUUGUAAUUUGCAGAGGAUGCUUUUGGUGCGGUGCCUUCCAAGUUCCCUAGAACGGGACGCCAGAGAGGGUGAGAGCCCCGUACAGUUGGACACCAAGCCUUUGUAAAGCUCCUUCGACGAGUCGAGUAGUUUGGGAAUGCUGCUCAAAAUGGGAGGUAUAUUUCUUCUAAAGCUAAAUACCGGCCAGAGACCGAUAGCGCACAAGUAGAGUGAUCGAAAGAUGAAAAGCACUUUGAAAAGAGGGUUAAACAGCACGUGAAAUUGUUAAAAGGGAAGCGCUUGUGACCAGACUUGCGUCCGGUGAAUCACCCAGCUCUCGCGGCUGGGGCACUUCGCCGGCUCAGGCCAGCAUCAGCUCGCUGUCGGGGACAAAAGCUUCAGGAACGUAGCUCUCUUCGGGGAGUGUUAUAGCCUGUUGCACAAUACCCUUCGGCGGGCUGAGGUACGCGCUCCGCAAGGAUGCUGGCAUAAUGGUCAUCAGCGACCCGUCUUGAAACACGGACCAAGGAGUCAACCUUAUGUGCGAGUGUUCGGGUGUCAAACCCCUACGCGUAAUGAAAGUGAACGCAGGUGAGAGCUUCGGCGCAUCAUCGACCGAUCCUGAUGUUCUCGGAUGGAUUUGAGUAAGAGCAUAUAGGGUUGGACCCGAAAGAAGGUGAACUAUGCGUGUAUAGGGUGAAGCCAGAGGAAACUCUGGUGGAGGCUCGCAGCGGUUCUGACGUGCAAAUCGAUCGUCAAAUAUGCGCAUGGGGGCGAAAGACUAAUUAAACCUUCUAGUAGCUGGUUUCCGCCGAU